GAUGAAGAACGUAGCGAAAUGCGAUAAGUAAUGUGAAUUGCAGAAUUCAGUGAAUCAUCGAAUCUUUGAACGCACCUUGCGCUCUUUGGUAUUCCGAAGAGCAUGCCUGUUUGAGUGUCAUGAAAAUAUCAACCUUGACUUGGGUUUUGUGCUCUAGUCUCGGCUUGGAAUUGGGUGCUUGCCGCUUUUACGAGCGGCUCACCUUAAAUGUAUUAGCUGGAUCUGUCUUUGAGACUUGGUUUGACUUGGCGUAAUAAGUAUUUCGCUAAGGACAUUCCUCGGAGUGGCCUCGUUUCUAGGACGCUUGUCCGCUUUCCAAUACAAGUUCCACCUCGUGGACAUGACUUUUUAUUAUCUGGCCUCAAAUCAGGUAGGACUACCCGCUGAACUUAAGCAUAUCAAUAAGCGGAGGA
RNAcentral lists this unclassified non-coding RNA (413 nucleotides) under soil metagenome. Its description in RNAcentral is "partial contains 5.8S ribosomal RNA, internal transcribed spacer 2, and large subunit ribosomal RNA". The stretch from base 1 to 120 matches the Rfam family "5.8S ribosomal RNA", at positions 35 to 154 of the family's 154-position model. The record is from RNAcentral.